Molecule: ribosomal RNA, 301 nt
Filed under: uncultured bacterium
Lineage: Bacteria
Description: partial 16S ribosomal RNA
Rfam family: Bacterial small subunit ribosomal RNA
Source: RNAcentral
CAGUAGCCACGGGAAUACGGAGGGUGCAAGCGUUAAUCGGAAUUACUGGGCGUAAAGCGCACGCAGGCGGUCUGACAAGUCAGAUGUGAAAUCCCCGGGCUUAACCUGGGAACUGCAUUUGAAACUGUCAGGCUGGAGUCUUGUAGAGGGGGGUGGAAUUCCAGGUGUAGCGGUGAAAUGCGUAGAGAUCUGGAGGAAUACCGGUGGCGAAGGCGGCCCCCUGGACAAAGACUGACGCUCAGGUGCGAAAGCGUGGGGAGCAAACAGGAUUAGAUACCCGCGUAGUCCCUGUCUCUUAUAA